This is a non-coding RNA of Acanthosepion pharaonis, 111 nucleotides long. Lineage: Eukaryota; Metazoa; Mollusca; Cephalopoda; Sepiida; Sepiidae. The record is from the annotation of a GenBank genome assembly.
CUGCAAUAUCACAUUGAAAAACCAGUUCCCGUACGAUCUCCGAAGUUAAGCAACGUCGAACUUGGUCAGUAUUUACAAGGUUGACCGCUUGCGAAUAACAGGUGGUGUAAG